This is a non-coding RNA of Pelobates cultripes (western spadefoot toad), 227 nucleotides long. The record is from the annotation of a GenBank genome assembly. Lineage: Eukaryota; Metazoa; Chordata; Amphibia; Anura; Pelobatidae.
GGGUUCUUGGCAUCAGCCAUCGGUAAUCUACCUUUGCGUGUUGAAGUAUGGUGGUUAUGGGACUUAGUGACUUUCACCAUUGCAGAGUAUUUCAUGCAUCUUGAAAAAAAGUGAGUCUGGAUGUCUCAAAGUCCAGUAAGGUCUUGUCCCUGACUGCUGUUAGGAUGCUUUGUUUGUCUAGGAUGAAGUGACAGCGAACAAUUACAUCUCGCGUAGAUGCAGGUGGC